AGAGUUUGAUCCUGGCUCAGGAUGAACGCUAGCUACAGGCUUAACACAUGCAAGUCGCGGGGCAGCAUGUUGGUUGCUUGCAACCAAUGAUGGCGACCGGCGCACGGGUGAGUAACGCGUAUCCAACCUGGCCCUUAGUAGGGGAUAGCCCGGCGAAAGUCGGAUUAAUACCCUAUGUUUUCCGUUGCGGACAUCUAAUAUGGAACAAAGAUUUAUCGCUAGGGGAUGGGGAUGCGUCCGAUUAGCUUGCCGGCGGGUAACGGCCCACCGGGGCAACGAUCGGUAGGGGUUCUGAGAGGAAGGUCCCCCACAUUGGAACUGAGACACGGUCCAAACUCCUACGGGAGGCAGCAGUGAGGAAUAUUGGUCAAUGGGCGAGAGCCUGAACCAGCCAAGUAGCGUGAGGGAUGACGGCCCUACGGGUUGUAAACCUCUUUUGCCGGGGAAUAAAGUCGGGGACGUGUCCCCGUUUGUAUGUACCCGGAGAAUAAGGACCGGCUAAUUCCGUGCC
This 511-nucleotide ribosomal RNA is filed under the name uncultured bacterium. RNAcentral describes it as "bacterial SSU rRNA". It matches the Rfam family "Bacterial small subunit ribosomal RNA", at positions 8 to 509 of the family's 1533-position model. The record is from RNAcentral.